GAGUGCGGAGCGGAGCCGAGGAUUCCCCCGCGGUCCCCCUUCUCUCUUAUGGCUGAAGGCUGCGUUGCCCCUCGCCUCGCCUCCUCUCCACCCGGCCUUGUCCCAGACGUGGCACCGCAACGCACGGGGCUCCCACCGGUGCCCCCCCCGCCGGGGUCCGCUUCCCUCAGCGCUGCCGUCGUGCUGCCGCAAUAGCACCGAACCGGAGCUCGUCGCUGCCCGGCUUUGCUCCGCACCCAGGAUCUGUCCCCUCCGCUUUGGCCUUUUAACCCUUUCCUUUCAAACGCAGCCGGCGGCUCUCGGCCUCCCCCGGCCGUGGGCUGAUGGGGUCGCGCCCCCCCCCCCCCCCCCGUGUCCCCGUCCCCGUUUGGACUCCCUACUUUGUUGUGUUGCGGAACGGUGUUUAUUUUUCCCUCUCCCCUCUGAUGGAUUUCGCCAUUACUACGAAGGGCCCGGCGGAAAUUAGCGGUUGUCCUUAAUUAGCGAGCCCGGCCCGUAGGAAAUAGGCACAGCCGGGGCAGCUCUGAGCGGACCACUCCCGAUAGCUCUCCCGCUGCCCCAUCCAAGGGCGCUGCUGUACCUCCUCACAGGGCCCCGCUGAGCGGUGCGACGGGAGUUUGGAGAACCUCCUGACCCCGAGCCGCAGCCCCUCUCCUGCUGGGACAGCAUUAACCGGGAGGACCACGCUCGAAAUCCAAAGGGCCGUCCGUCCCCUCCCCUCUCCCGCCUUUAAUCACCCUUUGCAAUUAGCGCCUGUUGCGGGAUCCCCGCGCCCAGCGCUCCCCCAGCGGUUCGGUGGGGGCUGCAGUACCGCUCCCCUCCGCGGCCGGCAGCGCCGAACCGCCCCCGUCCUUCUGUCCGUCCGUCCAUCCGUCCGUCCGUCCGCCCCCCCCGGGGGGCAGCCGCGGCCGUGCGGGGUUCGGGCGCUGCGGGAGCGGCUUUAUAGCGGCGCUGGGCACGGAGCGGCCCGGCCUGACGUCAGGAGAACCCGAUCCGGCCCGCUCCGCUCCUGCGUCUGAAACUGAUCCUUGAAAUGAGAGAACAGACUCUACACAAUUCCCAUGGCCUUGACAUAAGGGCCGCACCGACGGAUGAUGGACCGAGGCUGUCCCCGGGACGCCAAAAUAAUGAGGGGUGGCCGCGGUACAGACGGUCGGGACGCACAGGGGCUCUCGGAGAAGCGGUCCGCACUGUUACAUCAUUUUAGAAGCCCGGCCACGCACCGGGAGCGGGAUGGGGAGCGCCGGUCUCUGCCUCCCGCACACCUCCAAUACCUCCAACAGCCCUUCGGCACCUGCGGGAAAUCCGCCCGGAACCCCACGGGGGGAGACGCGGCCGCUGUCAGCCCCACUCGAGACGCCUUUGUCAGAGCGGGGUAUCAGCAGUGGCUCAGCCAACCCCGGGCAGCCCCAGCGCUCGGAUUCACCCUUAUCAUCAUUAUCAUUAUCACUAUCUUUA
Long non-coding RNA from Gallus gallus (chicken), 1458 nucleotides. RefSeq lists it as uncharacterized. The transcript is spliced from 3 exons. The record is from RefSeq and is a predicted model, not a curated record. NCBI's taxonomy places the organism in Eukaryota, Metazoa, Chordata, Aves, Galliformes, Phasianidae.